GAAUAAGAAGCAAUUAUGCAUUUAGUUUCGACCUAAAUAUAUUGAUAAUAAUAUAUCCUUAUUUA
Molecule: transfer RNA, 65 nt
Filed under: Kyklioacalles sp. BMNH 1043787
Lineage: Eukaryota; Metazoa; Arthropoda; Insecta; Coleoptera; Curculionidae
Description: tRNA-Arg
Source: RNAcentral